This 1107-nucleotide long non-coding RNA is filed under the name Helianthus annuus (common sunflower). RNAcentral describes it as "hypothetical non coding rna". The record is from RNAcentral. Lineage: Eukaryota; Viridiplantae; Streptophyta; Magnoliopsida; Asterales; Asteraceae.
GCACACACAAAAAGAAAAUGCCUUCCUCCUCUCUCUUUUUGUCUGCAUAAUAUUCUCACACACAUAUGAAACAAACUCUCAUCUCUCAAAUACACACACACAAACUCACAACUAAGCAACCCCCUACCUCUGAUCGUUGACUGACCGGCAACACAGGGCCGGCGACGGGCUGCCGGCGCCCCUAUUCUCCGGCGACUCACCCCACCAGCAACACCCACUUCAUCUAUAACUCACCCCACAAACCCCACCUGUUACACGUUGAAGAACGACCGACAACCACCACUGUCUAGUGGUGGUGCGGCAGCGAAAUCAGCGGACGAAAGAGACAGAAGGAGAGAGAGAUUCGAGAAAGAUCGGAGAAAGGUCGAGAUGAGAGAGAGAGAGAGAGAGAAAUAGGUGACAGAGCGAAGGAGGUGCCAGCCACCAUACGCGGCGGCGGCGGUCGGCGGUGACGGCGGCAGUGGUGCUUGUUCUCCGACGAAAGCUCCGAUAAAACCCCCAUUUCUUUUGCUUUGUUUCUGAAAAAAAAGGUUAUGUUGAUGGUGGCUGGUUAUUGUUGAAGAUGAUGAUUUGAUUUUUUUUUGUUUCGGGAUAUAUCCUAAUCUCGUGGCUCCGGUUUUGGUUCAAGACGAUCAGAUUAGUGCGGUCUCGGGUCUCGCGGUUCGGCCAGAGUUGGUCCAAGGCAGUCAACAGCAAGUCAACAACUUCGGUUCAGGUCAAUCGGCUUCGGAUCAGACUCAGUUUCGGGUUUGUUGACUCGGUCAAACCGAGUCAACUCGGUCAACCGAGCUAACCCGGUCAACUCAGUCAAACGUCUCUAGACGAAAGAUUUGGAAUAUUGUAGAAUGCACGCUAGCAAGUCAAGUCUUGGGAACGACAUCACGAAGUCGUAUUUAGCUAGCUUUGCACAGGAAUAUUCAGGUUUAGUCGAAGUCUACAUCAAAUCAAGCUAGGAAGUCCAGAAACUCACCUAAAAUCUAGGUUGUCGGAUUUGAAUUGUUCGAGAGGACAAGAAAUCUGUGAUAACUUAUGUGAUUGUAUUGUUUGUUAGUAUGGGAUAACAAAUGUAAUGAAUAUUAUCGCAAUAUAGUCGUUAUCGAUUCUCUU